RNAcentral lists this long non-coding RNA (2555 nucleotides) under Homo sapiens (human). Its description in RNAcentral is "HSALNT0335929". The record is from RNAcentral. Lineage: Eukaryota; Metazoa; Chordata; Mammalia; Primates; Hominidae.
CCCCGCGCCCCCCGGCGGGCGGAGCCCGGCGCCGCGGCCAGGAUUUCCCACCUCGCUCCCGCGACUCCGCUGCGGGUCUGCACACCCGAGGACUCGGUUUGAAACGCCCGCUUAUUUAUUUUCUUGUCGCCUCGCUACAAGAUUCUAUCCUUGUUUGGGCAUGAGUGGGGGGCGGCAGUCUCGUGGGACCGGCGGCAUUCGUCGUUCCUCCUUACGGGGAUAAUUCGAGAAGUGCGGUCCGGGGGUACUUAACCGAAACUAGCAAUCCCAGGCGGUACAAGGCCCUCCAUCGUAGGCAAAGCACUACCUGAAUGUAGAUUUGGGCCAUACGUUGGAAAAUAAGACAUGAGAGUAUGCUCCGAUCAACUUUUACUGUUCACUGGACAACUAUUUUGGGAAUUUGCAGACCUAUAAAGCCCAUCUAUAAAUCUCAAGCAUGUCCACUUUCAGAGAAGAGAAAUGCUGACAACCAUUUAGUCUCUGAGGACAACACUUUUAAAGUGUAACAAUGUGGCAUCCAGAGCUUAUCCAGAUGAGCGGAGAGCAAAUGAAUUUCCUUCUGCUCCCCUGUUGAAGAGGAGAGAAAAAUUCUUCAAGCUAGCCAGAAAGGUACAUUUCCUCUUCAUGUGUUCUCACUUCCAUCCUUUACCUCGGUGAAAAGACGUUUUCCUUCCGUACACUCAUCAGUCCAAGAGGGAUGAAGCUUGUGGAAAUUUUGCAGCAGCCUUCCCUGACCAUGGUGGCCUGAAGUGCACCUUUUAUACAGGACUCCAUCAUAGGACUGGAGAGAGAUUGGAUGUCAGAGUGAUUGAUGUGCUCCUACUGGAAGAAGGCAAACAUCCAUAUGUGAACUGCCUGUGGGGUUUCCAAGGAAAGGAACGGCAGGCAGCCUCUAUGAGCUUAAAGAAGAUAACUGGGACUUUAGUCCUAUAACCUCAAGGAACAGUAUUCUGUGAACCAUCUGAGAAGCUUGGAAGAGGACCCCAAACUCCAAAUAAGAAGCUCAGUGUGUCUGACACCUUGACUGCAGGCUUGGGAGGUCCUGAGCAGAAGAUCCAGUUCAACAGUGCCUGGACUCCUGAUCCACAAAAACUGAUAACAAAUAUUUAUUGUUUUAAGAUGCUAAGUUUGUAGUCAUUUUUUAUACAGCAACAGAAAACUAAACACACACAUAAACAGUUAUAAGUGCUCACUGUAUAUGAGGCUUUUCAUUAAUAAUCUAUAUUUUAUAAUAGAAUUAGAAUAUAGAUCUGUGAAGCUGAAGACACUCAAUCCUUGCUAGAUUUAAAUCAGGAAAAUCAGCUGAGAAUCAUUCCUUGAUAGAACCUGGAAAACAAGACCCUAUGAGAGACCCUGGGAAUUACAUUAAAUUCACUGUGGUUCCCAGUGUCACUGAAGAGGUUUUCCUUUCAUAGUCAGGUAGUCACCAUACUGUUAAGCAUUUGAACACAUGGGCAACUUCCAGAAUAGUUAUGACAUUGAUAUACCAAUCUCCAAAAUUCCUAGAAUACCAUGUUUUCAUGGUUGACCUUCAAAUCAGUCAGUUCUUUGUAACAUUGAGCCAUAAAGAUAGGGCAAAUACUUAAUGUUUUACAUAUAUUCAGAGAUUGACCCUCAAAAUACAGCCCAGAGAAACUCAAAAGAAUUAACUCUAUUUCUUCAAAUUGUGUGACGCCACCAAGGCCAGAUGACUUCAGCAUUGGGAAGGCAAUAUCCAGCUGUCAUCUUCUUGAUCCUCAUAUGCUACUACUAGCAUCUAGCAUUUACUGAGCAGAUAGUUUUAUUGUCCAGUUUUUAAAGAUAAGAAAAUUGAGGUAUUAGGAAAGUUAAGUUGGUUGCCUAGGGAAACACGAAGAUAUAGCCCAGAUUCACUCCCAGGCAGGCAGAUGCCAGUGUCUGCUCUCUUUACCACCGAAAUAUCCUGCUACAUGUACAAUUUCAAUAAAUAUCUGGACUUACUGGAACAAAACAAAUCAACAACAUUCUUAUUUUCUUUCUUCAGUUUAGAUUAAAUAAUUUAAAUGUCUUCUUAAGAAGCUACAGUUUUUUGAGGCACAGAGGGAUAGGAGGGUAGGUCCUACCAGUUGAGUCACUCAGCCCUAUAGUUGUGAAAAUCCUUAAUUUUAAGAAGCAGCAGUAAAGUCUCUACUUCUCAAGCUUGCCAUUAGAUGGUUUUAAAUAAUUGACAGGCUCUGCUCAAGUUCUUCUGAUUUCUCCAUAUCCUGGAAAUGGUUAAAGGCAUAAGCAGGAAGCCAUUCCCUUUUGAUGAGCUGCUAUGACAUCAUGCAGUAAGUUUACUGAAGAGAGAUUCCUGAUGAAAGAUGCAAGAGAAACUAGAUACAUUAAGCAGUCGUUUCUUUAUAUGAAUCAAUGGGACACCUUUGCUUUCCUUUACUCUAAGUGACCUAUAUGCAGAAAAUGAACUCACUUUUCCUAUGUUUAGAUCAAGUUUUCAAGUUACUUCCUGGCAAACAACCCUAACAAGAUCAUGUAUGAUAGUUAAUUGGCCAUAAUCUCUGCCUUUUCUUUUUUUCUGGCUAAAUAACCAGGUGGAC